This 429-nucleotide ribosomal RNA is filed under the name Actinomycetes bacterium. RNAcentral's name for it is "Actinobacteria bacterium partial 16S ribosomal RNA". It matches the Rfam family "Bacterial small subunit ribosomal RNA", at positions 355 to 776 of the family's 1533-position model. The record is from RNAcentral. Lineage: Bacteria; Bacillati; Actinomycetota; Actinomycetes.
UAGGGAAUCUUCCGCAAUGGGCGAAAGCCUGACGGAGCAACGCCGCGUGAGUGAUGAAGGUCUUCGGAUCGUAAAACUCUGUUAUUAGGGAAGAACAAAUGUGUAAGUAACUAUGCACGUCUUGACGGUACCUAAUCAGAAAGCCACGGCUAACUACGUGCCAGCAGCCGCGGUAAUACGUAGGUGGCAAGCGUUAUCCGGAAUUAUUGGGCGUAAAGCGCGCGUAGGCGGUUUUUUAAGUCUGAUGUGAAAGCCCACGGCUCAACCGUGGAGGGUCAUUGGAAACUGGAAAACUUGAGUGCAGAAGAGGAAAGUGGAAUUCCAGGUGUGGCGGUGAAAUGCGCAGAGAUAUGGAGGAACGCCAGUGGCGAAGGCGACUUUCUGGUCUGUAACUGACGCUGAUGUGCGAAAGCGUGGGGAUCAAACAGG